UCAGGCAGGGCUACCCGCUGAACUUAAGCAUAUCAAUAAGC
RNAcentral lists this ribosomal RNA (41 nucleotides) under Wittrockiella lyallii. RNAcentral's name for it is "partial 28S ribosomal RNA". Lineage: Eukaryota; Viridiplantae; Chlorophyta; Ulvophyceae; Cladophorales; Pithophoraceae. The record is from RNAcentral.